UUGUUUACGUUUCAUUGGACGGCGGGUGCCGAAGCACUGCCUAUGAAUCGUCACGAUCAAAAUGUUUGGCGGAUCACACUUGAUUGCUCAAGCGGAUGAAAUGGAGGGUCGCACAGCCCAUUAAUGAAAAUCGGCGGCUUCCCAUAAAACAGACUCGUUCCACGUGACGAAGACGGGGUCGUGAGACGCCCGAGAUUGGUGUGGUAAUGAUCCUUCCGCAGGUUCACCUACGGAAA
Molecule: unclassified non-coding RNA, 236 nt
Filed under: uncultured fungus
Lineage: Eukaryota; Fungi
Description: sequence contains ITS1
Source: RNAcentral